AAACCCUUCAAAAACAGUGUUUCGAAAUGACAAUUCAACGUAAUACGACUGAAGAGGAACUGAAAGAAGAAACAAAGUGGCUGCUGUCGAUCCAAACAGUCGAGAAACAAAGGCUGAGUGCUGCAACCUGAUACGGUUGGCAGCUGUGUGGACGUUGACUGCUCCAUCAGCACAGGGGAGACAGAAGAGUGGACACCGAGGCCAAGGUGUCAGUGUGUCUGUGUGUGAUGUCCAAAAGGGCAGGAAGCGGACAUGGACACCUGAGACAGCCGGUAUGUUUGGAAUUGCUGGCCAGCGAUCGCACACGGCGGAAUCUGUUAGCAUGAGCCGUGGACUGCACAAGAACUUUCCCACAGUGGGAGGAACUCAACAGUGACACGGCCACAACUGUGCCAACGAGAUGUGCUAACACUUCCUGUUGUGUCCAACAAACGUAACUGACAGCUGUAGAACAAAAAAAAAAA
Cynoglossus semilaevis (tongue sole) is the source of this 464-nucleotide long non-coding RNA. RefSeq lists it as uncharacterized. NCBI's taxonomy places the organism in Eukaryota, Metazoa, Chordata, Actinopteri, Pleuronectiformes, Cynoglossidae. The transcript has 2 exons. The record is from RefSeq and is a predicted model, not a curated record.